RNAcentral lists this ribosomal RNA (505 nucleotides) under uncultured Acidobacteriota bacterium. RNAcentral describes it as "bacterial SSU rRNA". It matches the Rfam family "Bacterial small subunit ribosomal RNA", at positions 38 to 573 of the family's 1533-position model. Lineage: Bacteria; Pseudomonadati; Acidobacteriota. The record is from RNAcentral.
GGCGGCGCGCCUAACACAUGCAAGUCGAACGAGAAAGCGGGAGCAAUCUCGCAAGUACAGUGGCGUACGGGUGAGUAACACGUGGAUUAUCUGCCCUUGAGUGGGGAAUAACGCUGGGAAACCGGCGCCAAUACCGCAUAUUCCCGAGAGGGGAAAGCAGCAAUGCGCUCGAGGAGGAGUCCGCGGCCGAUUAGCUAGUUGGCAGGGUAAAAGCCUACCAAGGCUAUGAUCGGUAGCCGGCCUGAGAGGGCACACGGCCACACUGGCACUGAAACACGGGCCAGACUCCUACGGGAGGCAGCAGUGGGGAAUCUUGCACAAUGGGGGAAACCCUGAUGCAGCGACGCCGCGUGAGCGAUGAAGCCCUUCGGGGUGUAAAGCUCUUUCGGCAGGGAAGAUUAUGACGGUACCUGCAGAAGCAGCUGCGGCUAACUACGUGCCAGCAGCCGCGGUAAUACGUANGCAGCAAGCGUUGUUCGGAGUUACUGGGCGUAAAGGGUGUGUA